UACGUAGGGACCAAGCGUUGUUCGGAUUUACUGGGCGUAAAGGGCGCGUAGGCGGCAAUUUCAAGUCAGCUGUGAAAUCUCCGGGCUUAACUCGGAACGGUCAGCUGAUACUGCUUUGCUAGAGUGCAGAAGGGGCAAUCGGAAUUCUUGGUGUAGCGGUGAAAUGCGUAGAUAUCAAGAGGAACACCUGAGGUGAAGACGGGUUGCUGGGCUGACACUGACGCUGAGGCGCGAAAGCCUAGGGUAGCAAACGGG
This 255-nucleotide ribosomal RNA is filed under the name uncultured bacterium. Its description in RNAcentral is "partial 16S ribosomal RNA". It matches the Rfam family "Bacterial small subunit ribosomal RNA", at positions 524 to 776 of the family's 1533-position model. The record is from RNAcentral.